UCUCAUAUCGGCCGCGACCCC
This 21-nucleotide ribosomal RNA is filed under the name Serjania yucatanensis. RNAcentral describes it as "partial 26S ribosomal RNA". Lineage: Eukaryota; Viridiplantae; Streptophyta; Magnoliopsida; Sapindales; Sapindaceae. The record is from RNAcentral.